RNAcentral lists this ribosomal RNA (258 nucleotides) under uncultured Mycobacterium sp. Its description in RNAcentral is "partial 16S ribosomal RNA". It matches the Rfam family "Bacterial small subunit ribosomal RNA", at positions 245 to 524 of the family's 1533-position model. The record is from RNAcentral. Lineage: Bacteria; Bacillati; Actinomycetota; Actinomycetes; Mycobacteriales; Mycobacteriaceae.
UUUGCGGUAGGCCUACCAGGCGACGACGGGUAGCCGGCCUGAGAGGGUGUCCGGCCACACUGGGACUGAGAUACGGCCCAGACUCCUACGGGAGGCAGCAGUGGGGAAUAUUGCACAAUGGGCGCAAGCCUGAUGCAGCGACGCCGCGUGGUGGAUGACGGCCUUCGGGUUGUAAACCCCUUUCAGCAGGGACGAAGCGCAAGUGACGGUACCUGCAGAAGAAGCACCGGCCAACUACGUGCCAGCAGCCGCGGCCGA